UUUCCGUAGGUGAACCUGCGGAAGGAUCAUUAACACGUAUCCACGUUUAAUAACCCGCGAAUUUCUUAGGAGUUUCUUCAAGAAAAGGCGCUUUAUCUUCGGAUAAAACACCCUGUUCUUGAAGAAACUCCUAAGAAAUUCGCGGGUUAUUAAACGUGGAUACGUGUUAAUGAUCCCGUUGCCUCGGCGGGCCCGCCGUUAGGUCGGCCGCCGGGGGGGAGUAAACAUCCCCUCUGGCCAGCGCCCGCCGGAGGACCGAAUCAAAAACAUCUGUCAGUCAAUGCAGUCUGAGCGAGAAUCGCAAAUCAGUUAAAACUUUCAACAAUGGAUCUCUUGGUUCCG
This 342-nucleotide unclassified non-coding RNA is filed under the name soil metagenome. Its description in RNAcentral is "partial contains small subunit ribosomal RNA, internal transcribed spacer 1, and 5.8S ribosomal RNA". The record is from RNAcentral.